Molecule: ribosomal RNA, 255 nt
Filed under: uncultured bacterium
Lineage: Bacteria
Description: partial 16S ribosomal RNA
Rfam family: Bacterial small subunit ribosomal RNA
Source: RNAcentral
UACGUAGGCAGCGAGCGUUGUUCGGAUUUACUGGGCGUAAAGGGCGCGUAGGCGGCCACCGCAAGUCGGUUGUGAAAUCUCCGGGCUUAACCCGGAAAGGUCAAUCGAUACUGCGGGGCUAGAGUGCAGAAGGGGCAACUGGAAUUCUCGGUGUAGCGGUGAAAUGCGUAGAUAUCGAGAGGAACACCUGCGGCGAAGGCGGGUUGCUGGGCUGACACUGACGCUGACAGCGCGAAAGCUAGGGGAGCGAACGGG